RNAcentral lists this ribosomal RNA (371 nucleotides) under uncultured bacterium. RNAcentral's name for it is "bacterial SSU rRNA". It matches the Rfam family "Bacterial small subunit ribosomal RNA", at positions 527 to 896 of the family's 1533-position model. The record is from RNAcentral.
AGAGGGUGCUAGCGUUGUUCGGAAUUACUGGGCGUAAAGGGCGCGUAGGCGGCCUUCUAAGUCGAACGUGAGAUCCCCGGGCUCAACCCGGGAACUGCGUCCGAGGCUGGAAGGCUCGAAUCCGGGAGAGGGAUGUGGAAUUCCAGGUGUAGCGGUGAAAUGCGUAGAUAUCUGGAGGAACAUCGGUGGCGAAGGCGGCAUCCUGGACCGGUAUUGACGCUGAGGCGCGAAAGCCAGGGGAGCAAACGGGAUUAGAUACCCCGGUAGUCCUGGCCCUAAACGAUGAAUGCUUGGUGUGGCGGGUAUCGAUCCCUGCCGUGCCGAAGCUAACGCAUUAAGCAUUCCACCUGGGGAGUACGUUCGCAAGAAUG